RNAcentral lists this long non-coding RNA (1099 nucleotides) under Carassius auratus (goldfish). RNAcentral's name for it is "lncRNA (ENSCARG00000015939.1)". Lineage: Eukaryota; Metazoa; Chordata; Actinopteri; Cypriniformes; Cyprinidae. The record is from RNAcentral.
UGAAACUCCUUCCAGCUGUGUAGAUCUUUGAUGUCUGAAAAUACUCCUACAUGCAGACCAAUCAUCAGACCUGUUCCUCUCGAAUGCAUUGUGGGAUUGAGUUUGUUGUGUUUGGUGUGUUUCAGGGUCCUGUCGGAGGAAGCGGCAGCAGUGGAUUCCCAGGCUUGAGAGGCGAUCCGGGGCCCGAGGGACCCCGCGGCUUUCCUGGCAUUGUGGGACCUCAGGGCCUGACUGGAGGGGCGGGGCCUCCUGGAAUGAAAGGUGAUAAGGCUGAACCUGGACUGAGGGGUGACCCGGGAGAGACUGGAUAUCAGGGCGACAAGGGGACCGCUGGGAAUCCAGGUCCGACGGGACCACGCGGAAAACCAGGACCUCUCGUAAGACCCUCUGUGUUCAAUACAGAUACUGUUGAUUGUCAGGAAACCAGCAAAUCUGAGAGACUGAGCUCUGAUCUCUUGAUGUAUGUGUUUAUAUAUGAUGUUCAUGGUUGAUAUUCUCUCUCUGAAGGGGAAACCAGGAGACCCGGGACCACAGGGGCCUCCGGGGCCGCCAGGACCUGAGGUGAGAACCAGAGCUCAUGCACUGAUUUUGAGAGGACUGACAAUAAUUGUGUAGGUUAUGUUUAAACUAGCUGAAAGAUUUGGAGCAACACUUUUAUUAGAUCAGUGAUUAGAUCCAAACCUUCCUCAAUACAACAAAGCAUUAAUCAAUUUAGAGCUGUUUAUAGUCUCCAGUAAAUAGCCUGAAUUGUGUCUGUUUUGGAAGGCAUGUCUGCUUCCUUUUUUAUUUGGGUUAGUUAUUGCGUUUCUCUUUCAUUAAUUCAGAACAUGAUCCUCGCAGCUUUAUCAGAGUAAACGCAGAAGCAUCUGUGCAGCAAAUGGAUGAAACUCAUCCAGCGCAAGAGUUUAGCGUGUCGCGAGCUAGUUUGAUAGCAACUAGGUGGAUAGGAGGGUGCCCUCUAGUGGCACUUCUGUGUUAUUUCAUGCUCAUGUCAUGCUGUAGCUACAUUCCUGCCUGCAAAUUAAUGUAAUUAACAUUUCUAACGAACUGUUGUGGUCAGCAAGAACAUGACAUGACUUAUUUUUUUUUUACUUUUGUU